Molecule: unclassified non-coding RNA, 242 nt
Filed under: air metagenome
Description: partial contains small subunit ribosomal RNA, internal transcribed spacer 1, and 5.8S ribosomal RNA
Rfam family: Eukaryotic small subunit ribosomal RNA (bases 1-46)
Source: RNAcentral
AAGUCGUAACAAGGUCUCCGUUGGUGAACCAGCGGAGGGAUCAUUACCGAGUUUACAACUCCCAAACCCCUGUGAACAUACCUAUAAUUGUUGCUUCGGCGGGAUCGCCCCGGCGCCCAACCUACCGGGCCCGGACCCAGGCGCCCGCCGGAGGCCCCAAACUCUUUGUUUUUACGUUGUGUAUCUUCUGAGUUAUACAAGCAAAUAAAUCAAAACUUUCAACAACGGAUCUCUUGGUUCUG